This is a long non-coding RNA of Cynocephalus volans (Philippine flying lemur), 569 nucleotides long. RefSeq lists it as uncharacterized. NCBI's taxonomy places the organism in Eukaryota, Metazoa, Chordata, Mammalia, Dermoptera, Cynocephalidae. The transcript has 3 exons. The record is from RefSeq and is a predicted model, not a curated record.
AUUCUCACCAUGUGAUACCCUGAGUUGCUGUAGAGAGUCACUUCACCAGGAAGAAGGCCAUUAACAGAUGUGUUCCCUGGACUUUGGAUUUCCCAGCCUCUAAAACUUUUACAGAGAGGGAGGCAGACAAAGGAUGUGAAGACGGUGACCCUGCUUUCUUCUCAGAAUAACAGCCGCUCAAGUGCCUGAGGAGAAGCCCAAGGCACAGUUCAAAGUCUGUAUUUCUAAUCUCUGGCGAGAGCUUGGGGGAAUAAUGUGAACUGGUCUUUCGCUGCCUGAGAUUGAAGAGAAGGGAAGAAUGUGUGUGACUCCUCUGCCCACUUUCAGUGACUUUGCCAUUAAAGCAUUAUUCCAGGAUUCCCCGCUUGCUUACGCUGGUGGAGAGAGGAUUGAGCUGAAUGGAAUUGCUUGAUGCUGAAAGUCUUGUGAGAAGACAUGGUGAGGAAUGGAAGCCACCGCACACACCAAGAUAGCACAGAAAGGGAGAACUUGGUCUAUUUUUUGCAUUUAAAAAUACAUAAAGUAGUAUUCAUUUGCUACUAAUAGCAUGUUCAUUGUAAAAUUUUAGA